RNAcentral lists this ribosomal RNA (480 nucleotides) under Klebsiella sp. SI-51. RNAcentral's name for it is "bacterial SSU rRNA". It matches the Rfam family "Bacterial small subunit ribosomal RNA", at positions 17 to 490 of the family's 1533-position model. Lineage: Bacteria; Pseudomonadati; Pseudomonadota; Gammaproteobacteria; Enterobacterales; Enterobacteriaceae. The record is from RNAcentral.
UCAUGGCUCAGAUUGAACGCUGGCGGCAGGCCUAACACAUGCAAGUCGAACGGUAGCACAGGAGAGCUUGCUCUCCGGGUGACGAGUGGCGGACGGGUGAGUAAUGUCUGGGAAACUGCCCGAUAGAGGGGGAUAACUACUGGAAACGGUAGCUAAUACCGCAUAACCUCGCAAGAGCAAAGUGGGGGACCUUCGGGCCUCACGCUAUCGGAUGUGCCCAGAUGGGAUUAGCUAGUAGGUGGGGUAACGGCUCACCUAGGCGACGAUCCCUAGCUGGUCUGAGAGGAUGACCAGCCACACUGGAACUGAGACACGGUCCAGACUCCUACGGGAGGCAGCAGUGGGGAAUAUUGCACAAUGGGCGCAAGCCUGAUGCAGCCAUGCCGCGUGUAUGAAGAAGGCCUUCGGGUUGUAAAGUACUUUCAGCGGGGAGGAAGGCGAUGGGUUAAUAACCCGUCGAUGACUUACCCGCAAAGCCAU